This 11610-nucleotide long non-coding RNA is filed under the name Lactuca sativa (garden lettuce). RNAcentral describes it as "long non-coding RNA (LSAT_LNC007664)". The record is from RNAcentral. Lineage: Eukaryota; Viridiplantae; Streptophyta; Magnoliopsida; Asterales; Asteraceae.
GUAAAUUUGUAUUUGUAUGUAUAUAUACAUGCAUAUUUCCAACAAAGCAACACCGCUAACCAUGGCUUUUUCUUCUCUCUCCCUUAUCCUUUUCUGCUUCAUCUUCAUAUCAUUCGCCAUCUCCGACGCCGUUGUUCCCCCCGCCGACACUUUUCGGUAUGUCAACCAAGGCGAUUUUGGAGAACUCGAUUCCGAAUACGCCCCAACCUAUCGUCCUCUUCCUCCAUACACCUCCCCUUUCCAGCUCUGUUUCUACAAUACCACCCCCGGCGUCUACACUCUUAGUCUCCGCAUGGGAACCGGACGUGAUGAAGCGGUCAUGCCAUGGGUGUGGGAUGCCAACAGAGGCAACCCAGUUGGCGAAAACGCCACCUUCUCAUUAGCCUCCGACGGAAACCUUGUACUCGCCGACGGAGAUGGACGGAUCGCAUGGCAAACCAACACCGCCAACAAGGGUGUCGUCGGUUUUGCCAUACUCUCCACCGGUAACAUCGUGCUUCGUGACUCCAAGGGUGGUUUCGUCUGGCAAAGCUUUGAUUCACCUACUGAUACGCUUAUGUUUGGUCAAUCUCUCCGGAUCGGAGGUCCAACGAAGCUCGUCAGCAGAGCUUCAACGACGAACAACGUAAACGGAGCGUAUAGUUUCGUGAUAGAGCCAAAAAGAUUGGGUUUGUAUUAUAAGAACAUGCUUUAUUGGUCUUCCACGUUUCCAUUGUUUCCGGAAUUGAACCAACCAAAUGUGACUAUUGUUAAUGCGACAUUCGCCAUCGUGGAAACCGAAUACAAUAACGACUUUAACGCAAUUAGGUGUCAUCUUUCAAACUCUAAUGCUCAACCUUUUUUGGACAUGGACAUACUCCGAUUCAAUAACACGUUAUCCUAUAUCCGAUUAGGCAUCGAUGGGAACUUACGACUCUACUCUUAUCGUCCUCCGAAUAUCCGUUUUAGCCAAUGGCGUAUCGUGUUCAGAUUGUUCGAUAAUAUGGAGACCACGAGGCGGGGUUUAUAUGAAGACGAGUGCCAACUGCCUGAACGCUGCGGCAAGUUUGGGCUGUGUGAGGACAGCCAGUGUGUUGGGUGUCCGUCGCCGGAGGGUGUUUUUGCGUGGAGCAAAAACUGCAAUGCGAAGACGCCGUCUUGUAAAGCGGGUGGUUCUCGUUACUACCAGCUGAAAGGAGUCGACCAUUUCACUUCUAAAUACUCUCCGGGGAGUGGGCCGAUGAAACAGAAAGAUUGCGAGAGUAAAUGCACAAAGGACUGUAAGUGUAUGGGGUAUUUCUAUCGCACUGAUCUAUCGAGGUGUUGGAUCGCUAACGAGUUAAAAACUUUGACGAGGGUUGGGAACUCGACUCAUUUGGCGUACAUCAAAACACCCAUCCAGUAGUUGGAUAAGUCUACUAGGAAAGAGGGAAUAAGGAAGAUGAAAGAUUUGAAGAAAUAGCACUGUUUACUUGCUUUUCUAUAUUUUUACCUUCCAUUGUCUGUUUGUAUCGAAAUCAAAGAGACUAUGUGGUUGUAUAUUUUUUAAGAUGUAAAACGCUUCGGUAUGCAUAACACAUUUGCAGUAGAAUAAAUGUGUUUACAGUCUACAAGUGGACAAAAUAUUUACAGUUUAAAUAAAGUUUUUUUAAUAAUUAUAAAAAAUAAAAUUAAAAAUUGUUUCAAUAAUUACAAGAACGUAUAAACUGCAAAAUAUGAUUAUCUUGCGGAUUACCAUUUUUUUAUAAUUAUUGAAAAAAAUCUUUUAAUUUUAAUUUUGUUUACUUUAUCUUUUUUAUGUUGUAUGUAGAACUUAAAAAACAAUCAAUCUUUUCUUGUAAAUGCAAACAAUUAGUCCCCUUGUAGACUACCAACACCUUACCUAUUGAAGGCAUGUAUUUUUUCUAUAUGGUAUUUUAUUUUCUAUUAUGAAACAUGAAAUGCAAAUUUAAUUUGAAAAUCAGUAAAUCUAUAAAUAAUUUAAAAAAAAAAAAAAAAAAAACACUAAAAUUACGAUACACAAAAUUGUGUGUCGUCUUUAUUUAUGACAUGACCUUUCUUGACAGGGACUUCCUAGAUACGCAUUGCGUGUCAUAAACACGCGCUUCGUAAGGUUACGGCACGCAAAUGCGUGUCGUCUUCCUUUAUGACAGGGCCUUCCUUGAUACGCAUUGCGUAUCAUAACCGUGCGUCGUAAAUGCGCGUCGUCUAUAGAUGACGCGCAAAAGCGCGUCGUCUAUAGAUGACGCGCAAAAGCGCGUCGUCUCUCUUUAUGACAGGGCCUUCCUUAACGCGCAUUUGCGUGUCGUCUGAGCGUUUUACGAUGCGCAAUGAGCGUCGUAAAAGGCUGUUUUUUAGUGCGAUAAAGGGUCGGCCUUGGUGCCGUAGACCCUGUCGAUAUAGUGAGGAUAACCCACCUCGCGACUUUCGAAACUCUAAACUGAAGAAGCAGAUGCCCGAACCACCGUCUCACCAAAGAUCCUGAACUAUCCAAAGUAGCAAAAUACACAUUAGACCAAGCACAAUAUCCUUCCAAGGGUAAAUUGACCAAUUUACCCUUAACUCAAUUUGGUCCAUGACUAAGGUCCAUAAUGAAAAUAUGAAAGGCCCAACACUAGGUAAGCUCUCAAGCCUAUUAAUGGUCCAAAGACCAAAAGUCUGAAGCAAAGCCCAAUAUUGGCCCAAUUUACUAAAUUGGGCCCACCUCACCAAAUGGGCCUAGAUCCAAGGUCCAUAAUAAUUAGUGAGUCCAAAUUACUCCAUCCAUAAUGUCCAGUCACAGCCCAAGCCAUAUUAGCCCAAUAACAACCCAAUCUCUUAAGGCCCAAAAUGAAAACUCAACAGAGGGAGUACGUUGGGCGUUCCCUUCUUGGUAUGCUGGGUGUACAACAAUGCUCGCGGAUUGGAAUCAGGACACAGACCCACUACGUUGGGCGUACUCCCAUUUAGGCAGGGCGUAACCUCGCUGAACUACAACUCCACAUAAGAUCUUAAUGGCUUAAGCUCUUAAGCCCAAACUUCAGAUCCAUAGACAAAAUAUGCCUAGGAUUCAUAAAGUCUCAAACUUUAUUACUUGGGACGUCCAUAAACCUCUUAACCCAAGGUCUUAAUCCAUUAAGACCUACCUAUAUCACAUAUGAGACAACCAAAGCCCUUGGGACCUCAUUUUUCUUACUCAAGACCUCUCCUAAGGUCUGAAAGGACAACUAAUCUCGACCAACUCGAAUCAUGCAUCAAGUUGAGGUUUUUGGGACAAGAAUGGUGUUAAAACUUCACAACACAAAGAUCUAUACAAUAAGAUUGUCAAGCCAGAGACUUUUUACCUCAAAAGGGCUCCAGAAGAUGAUGCCUCUCCAGAUCUACGAGCUCCAGCCGCCCCACUCCUUCUUUGACAACUUAUGUUUUCUUCUUCUUGGUUUUCCUUUGCCAAAACAAGCUUUCCAAGGUCAACACACCCAACAAUGGAGGUGGAACGGCUAUCUAGGGUUUUCUGAGGGUAAGAGAGUGUUUAUGGAGGCUAGGGUUGGAACCAUAAUGUUCCUUAUAUAGUGGUUGACCCUAAAUUUAGGGUUUCUGGAUGAUAGACGUACGUUGGGCGUACAUCCAGUACGUUGGGCGUACGUCGAGAGACCUCCGCGUUCAUUUACUCCAUUACGUUGGGCGUACCUAGCCAAACACGUGCAUGAAUGCUUGGCAUGCAUGGGACCCCUUUGCUAAACUUCCCCCUUAGGGACCAUUGUUGUCAAUAUCUUCAAUUUACAACAUAUCCUCCAUCCUAAGUUCGUUCCCGACGAACUUUAUAUCCACAUAAAGGGGCGCGAGAAGACCUACGCUUCUAGUGACACACCCCGACCCGAAAACCCAUUUCGAAUAAACCCAAUACCCAUAAAAAGACCGAAACGCCCUUACUCUUGAUCUCGGGAACCCAUAAAUAGAUAUUUUAAGAACGGAGCGUUACAGAUAUUGAUUGGGAUGUUGUACAAGCAUUUAUGGUUUUUGCUAAGGUGUUUUAUGAAGUGUGAAAUCGGUUUUCGGGGUCUUUGUAUGUAACUUUUCGUGCUUACUUUCAUGAUAUGUGUUCAUUGCAUAGCCAUAUUCAUGAAUGCAUUAAAAGUGAUGGCGGGUGAGUUCAAUGGCUAUGAAUAUGAAAGCAAAGUAUGAUAAAUAUUGGGAAAAUGCAGAAAAGAUGAAUUCUAUAUUGUAUGUAGAUGUUGUUUUUGAUCCUCGAUACAAAUUAAAAUAUGUCAAUUGGAGUUUGGAAGAAAUAUAACCUAUCGGUGAUAUUGCAUGUGACUUGAAAAAAAGUUAAAAGCCACUUUGAAUCGACUUUAUGUCUUUUAUUUGGAAAAAGAUCCUAUGCAUGCCAAAAUUCUUCUUCAAACAAGAAUCAUAACAAAAGAAAAGUUAAUGAGAAUCUUAACAUACAAGAGAAACGUAUGCUAAAAUAUAAGGAACAUUUGGAAGAUGAAAAAAAUAGGAGAAUUGAGUGAGCUUGAAAGAUAUUUGUCAGACAAUCAAGAGCCAAGUUAUGAGUCAUUUGACUUGUUGGAUUGGUGGAAGACAAAUAAAGCAAAAUAUUGUAUUUUGGGAAAAAUUGCACGCGAUGUCGUGGUUGUUGCAGUUUCUAUAGUUGCUUCGGAAUCCACAUUUAGCACAUGGGGUAGAGUUUUGGAUUUAUUUAGGAGUAGUCUUUCUCCUAAAAGAGUGCAAGCGCUUGUAUGCACACAAAAUUGGAUUUGGGGUGUGUUUAACAAAACUGCAAAAGUUUGUUAUGAAGAUGUGUUGCAAGAAAUUGAAGACCUUGAAGAAAUUCAAAAUAGUAAGAUUUCAGAUGUUAAAAAGUUUUAUAUCUCUUUGUUAUUAUUUUUUACAAAAUAUAACCUGUAUUUCAGGUUUUGCAAGCGAACUUAGUAUUUGCGCCGACAAUAUCGAUUGAAAGAUACUUUUCUUCUCAUGGUCUUAUAUUGAACUUUUGGUGUGAUGUUUUAAUAUUGAGUUUUUUGAACAAUAAACACAUAUGAAUUGGAUGACAUUUUGGAAGUGGAUAACAUUUUGGAAGUGAGCUUGCGGAUAAUGGAAAAAUAUUUGUGGUUUGUGUGUAUCGGUCUGAUGUUUGAUGUAAUGGAACAAUAUUUGUUAUUUUUAUUUACUGUUUUGGAUGGUUUUUAGGUUGCAUGAAUAGAUACAAAUGCUUGACGUAAUAGAAAGAUUUUAAAAAGUUUUAACAACUUUAAUAUGUUGUUUUUUUAACAAUUUUUUGCAGUUUUCUGGCAAUUUUGAUAGCUUUAAUGUUGUUUUUUUGGCAGAUUUUUUGACAGUUGUAACAAUAUAGCAGUUUUUUUUAACAAUUUAAUGUACUCGACAAAAAAUGAGCCUAAAAAGCCCAAACCGUGAAACUAAACCAGAACCAAACCGUUAGUAACAAUUUGAUUUUGUUUGGUUUUAAUUUUUAAACGGUUCCGCUGCGGUUUUUGAUCGAAAAAAAAAACUGUGAAGACCUCUAAGUAGAGGUUCGUUUUGUAUCAAUAUUAAUAAUAAUUUUUUAGUAGCUUCUUAUUAUCAUUAUAAAAUUAAUAGAAAAAUAAAAAGAAAUAAACACAAGUCAUGAUUACAAUAAUUUAAAAUAUAAUAUUGUUAUUUUAAAAAUAUAUUUUAAUUGCAUUUGUUUAUUUGAUAAUGAUAUCCAUCCCUUUAAUAAUGUAUACAACCGGGAUACCAGUAACUUAUGCACUUUCAAUAAAUUAACAUGCUUUCGGAAAAAAAAAUUGUAAAUUUGUAUUUGUAUGUAUAUAUACAUGCAUAUUUCCAACAAAGCAACACCGCUAACCAUGGCUUUUUCUGCACUCUCCCUUAUCCUUUUCUGCUUCAUCUUCAUAUCAUUCGCCAUCUCCGACGCCGUUGUUCCCCCCGCCGACACUUUUCGGUAUAUCAACCAAGGCGAUUUUGGAGAACUCGAUUCCGAAUAUGCCCCAACCUAUCGUCCUCUUCCUCCAUACACCUUCCCUUUCCAGCUGUGUUUCUACAACACCACCCCCGGCGUCUACACUCUCAGUCUCCGCAUGGGAACCAGACGUGAUGAAGCGGUCAUGCCAUGGGUGUGGGAUGCCAACAGAGGCAACCCAGUUGGCGAAAACGCCACCUUCUCAUUAGCCUCCGACGGAAACCUUGUACUCGCCGACGGAGAUGGACGGAUCGCAUGGCAAACCAACACCGCCAACAAGGGUGUCGUCGGUUUUGCCAUACUCUCCACCGGUAACAUCGUGCUUCGUGACUCCAAGGGUGGUUUCGUCUGGCAAAGCUUUGAUUCACCAACUGAUACUCUCUUGUUUGGUCAAUCUCUCCGGAUCCGAGGUCCGACGAAACUCGUCAGCAGAGCUUCAACGACGAACAACGUUAACGGAGCGUAUAGUUUCGUGAUAGAGCCAAAAAGAUUGGGUUUGUAUUAUAAGAACAUGCUUUACUGGGCUUCCACGUUUCCGGCGUAUCCGGAAUUGAACCAACCAAAUGUGACUAUUGUUAAUGCAACAUUCGACAUCGUGGAAACCGAAUACAAUAACGACUUUAACGCAAUUAGGUGUCAUCUUUCAAACUCUAAUGCUCAACCUUAUCUGGACAUGGACAUACUCCGAUUCAAUAACACGUUAUCCUAUAUCCGAUUAGGCAUCGAUGGGAACUUACGACUCUACUCUUAUCGUCCUCCGAAUAUCCGUUUUAGCCAAUGGAGUCUGGUGUUUAGAUUGUUCGAUAACAGGGAGACCACGAGGCAGGGUUUAUAUGAAGACGAGUGCCAACUGCCUGAACGCUGCGGCAAGUUUGGGCUGUGUGAGGACAGCCAGUGUGUUGGGUGUCCAUCGCCGGAGGGUGUUUUUGCGUGGAGCAAAAACUGCAACGUGAAGACGCCGUCUUGUAAAGCUGGUGGUUCUCGUUACUACCAGCUCAAAGGGGUCGACCAUUUCACCUCUAAAUACUCUGCGGGGACUGGGCCGAUGAAGCAGAAAGAUUGCGAGAGUAAAUGCACAAAGGACUGUAAGUGUAUGGGGUAUUUCUAUCGCACUGAUCUAUCGAGGUGUUGGAUCGCUAACGAGUUAAAAACUUUGACGAGGGUUGGGAACUCGACUCAUUUGGCGUACAUCAAAACACCCAUCCAGUAGUUGGAUAAGUCUACUAGGAAGAGGGAAUAAGGAAGAUGAAAGAUUUGAAGAAAUAGCACUGUUUACCUGCUUUUCUUAUUUUUACCUUCCAUUGUGUGUUUGUAUCGAAAUCAAAGAGUCUAUGUGGUAUACUUUUUAAGAUGUAAAACGCUUUGGUAUGCGUAACACAUUUGCAGAAGAGUAAUGUGUUUCCAGUCUACAAGAAAAAAGAUCGAUUAUUUAUUAAAUUCUACAACGACAUAAAAAAGGGUAGCUGCUAUUUGUAUACACCUCUAGGGAAUGAAAGACGAGAUCACAUCAAUCAUCGUGGUCUUUCUAUAAAUUUUAUAAGGUAGGCUAAAUUUUUUUUCUUAUUUUACCAUUUAGACGCCCUUAAUUAAUUUUAAAUUUUUUUUUUAUUGUCGCCAGAACAAAUGCUAUCAGAAAAGUUAAAAACCCUGUCGCAUGGUAUAGAUACAUGUGGGAUAUUAUUGGAAAAUAGAGAACAUAAUUUUUGGAGUUUCGGUUUUUUGGGCUAAAUUUAGGGUAGAGUGUUAUAGAUGAUUCCUGAUUGGUUAAUAAGGCUGGGGGAAUUGGAGUCACCGAAAAUGCAUUCCUUCUCCCAUCACAUAAGCGUCAUGUCAUUUUUUACCACUCAAAUGUGGUUUCUUGCCACAUCAAGUGUGUAGUGCCACACUUUUCAUUUCUUUUAUUUUUUUGUUUUUUUUAAGUAUUUUAAUUUAAUAAAACUUCCUUUUUUUAACUAUUUUAAUUUAAUAUAACUUAUAUUUUAAUAACAAAAACAUAAUUUUUCAUUACUUAAAAAUUAAAAAAAAAAAACACUAUAUUACGUUACUAAAAAAAACCCAUACAUAUGACAUUUAAAUAAUCUUAGAAACUUAAAAAACAUAAAUAAAAUAACUAAAGCAAACUACAUAAAGUCAUUCUCCGAGAACUCGUCUUCGGGGUCAUCCGGUGAAUCCAAAUUAAGGUUAAUGUUUUGAACCCUAUAAAUGUUUUCCAAGUCAUUGCGAAGAUUGUAAAAUGUUUCAGUGCAAUGUAUCUUUGCUCUCCUGUUUAUAUACUCUUCGCCACCAAUUUCUAUUGGCUAUGUCUCUGGUAUGGUUUCUUCUUCGUCAAACUCACAUAUCGCUUUUCCUUCGUCUUCAUUAAUCAUGUUAUGCAAUAUAAUACAUGUAUAUAUGAUUUCUUGAAGUUUUUCCUUGCCCAAAUAAGUUGUUGGUUUUUUCAAUAUGAACCACCGUUUCUUCAGAGCUCCAAAGGCACGCUCAACAUCUUUCUUAGCUCUUUCUUGAGCUCUCUUAAAUUUCUUUUGUCAAGAACCAUGUGGAGCUGAAAACGGUUUAACAAACACAGCGUACUUAGGAUAGAUUCCAUCGACCAGAUAAUAACCAUACUUAUAUGGCGUUCCACGCACUUGAAAAGAAGAAUCUGGUGCGAAUCUAUCGUAUAUGUUGUUAAAUAUUAAUGAACGGUUAAGAACGUUGAUGUCGUUAAUCGAACCAAGAGAACCAAAAAAAGCAUGCCAAAUCCACAUAUCUUGUGAUACAACUGCUUCAAGUAUGACCGUUGGGUGACCAUGAUCACCUCGGGUAAAUUGCCCAUAAUAUGUUGUAGGGCAAUUUUCCCAUGCCCAAUGGAGACAAUCUAAGCUUCCUAGCAUUUCAAGAAACCCAUGCACACUAGCAUGAUGAGCUUGCAAUUGCAGGAUGUCAUUACGUGUAGGCUUACGUAAAUAUUUUGGACCAGAAAACUGAAUCAUAGUUUUGCAGAAAAAAUGGAGACUGUCUCGUGCUAUCCUAGCAGACAUCCUAAAACUUUCGUCUAGCGCAUCAGGCGGAAUUCCAUAUGCUAACUGACGAAGUGUGCCCGUGCAUUUUUGUAAGAGAGUGAAACCGAGUGUACCUCUAGUAUCGUAGCGUUGUUGGAAAAAACUACACUCCCUCGUUACAUCGUCAACUAUACGUUCGAAUAAACCUUUGAGCAUUCUGAAGCGCCUACGAAAUACCUUGGUAAGUGGCAUUCUCUGCAAAAUAUUCUUGCACCAGACGUUGGUUGACUUCUUCACGAUUUCUGUAAAUAUAUCUUCGUGUUCUCUGUUGAGAACUUACAGCUGCGUUGUUACAUACAACGUUGUAUGUUUGUUCCGCCAUUUAAACACACGCAAUAGCGAUAUCAAAAAUAGUCUGAAAUUCUUCAGAAGAUGAAGAAGAUGACAUUUUUGAGAGAGUGGUGAUUUAAAUUUUUUUUUUUUUUUUUGAGAGAGAAAGGAGAUUGUGUUGUAAAAAAAAAGAUUAAGUUGAUAUGUAUAUAUAUAGAAAAGAAAAAGCAAAAGAAAAAAAAUUAAAUGCUCAACGUCAAUCCUUCCCAACUUCCCUCAACCAAUCAGAACACACGGUCUUAGAGAACCGCACUAUGGCCAAGAUUGUACUAGACCGCGGUCUGAAAACGGUGUUUCAAUACUACGUGGCAUAAAGUGCGGUCUGGAACGGUACCCGCACCGUGAAGCCUAAGUAAAGCAAACGGAUUUUGACGGACACACGAACCCGCGAUACUAGUAACUAUUACCUUUUCAUUAAAUUAACAUUCUUUCAUAAAGAGAAUAUAAAAGUCUAUAUAUAUGCAUAUAUAUCCGACAAGGCAACACAGUAACCAUGGUUUCUUCUCUCUCCCUUAUCCUUUGCUGCUUCAUCUUCAUAUCGUUAUCCAUCUCCAACGCCGUUGUUCCUCCCGCCGAUACUUUUCGGUAUGUCAAUCAAGGCGAUUUUGGAGAAUUCGAUUCCGAAUACGCCCCAAACUAUCGUCCUCUUCCUCCAUUCACCUACCCUUUCCAGCUCUGUUUCUACAACACCACCCCCGGUGUCUACACUCUCAGUCUCCGCAUGGGAACCAGACGUGAUCAAGCAGUCAUGCCAUGGGUGUGGGAUGCCAACAGAGGCAACCCAGUUGGCGAAAACGCCACCUUCUCAUUAGCCUCCGACGGAAACCUUGUACUCGCCGACGGAGAUGGACGGAUCGCAUGGCAAACCAACACCGCCAACAAGGGUGUCGUCGGUUUUGCCAUACUCUCCGAUGGUAACAUCGUGCUUCGUGACUCCAAGGGUGGUUUCGUCUGGCAAAGCUUUGAUUCACCGACUGAUACACUCUUGUUUGGUCAAUCUCUCCGGGUCGGAGGUCCGACGAAGCUCGUCAGCAGAGCUUCAGCGACGAACAACGUUAACGGAGCGUAUAGUUUCGUGAUAGAGCCAAAAAGAUUGGGUUUGUAUUAUAAGAACAUGCUUUACUGGGCUUCCACGUUUCCCGAAGUGAACGACCGAAAUGUGAAUAUUGUCAAUGCAACAUUGGAAAUCCAGAGAACCGAAUACGAAGAAAACUACUUUAAUGCGCUAAAGUGUCGUCUUUCAAACUCUGAAGCUCAACCUAAUUUGGACUUCGACAUACUCCGAUACAAUAGCACGUUAUCAUAUCUCCGAUUAGGCAUCGAUGGGAACUUAAGACUCUACUCUUAUCGUCAGAAUGUCCGUUUCAGCUCAUGGAGUCUGAUGUUCACUUUGUUCACUAGAAGGGUGAGCGAGAGGGGAGAGAUAGUUGAAGACGAGUGCCAACAGCCUGAUCGCUGCGGCAAGUUUGGGCUGUGUGAGGACAGCCAGUGCGUUGGGUGUCCGUCGCCGGAGGGUGUUUUUGCGUGGAGCAAAACUUGCAACGUGAAGACGCCAUCUUGUAAAGCGGGUGGUUCUCGUUACUACCAGCUCAAAGGGGUCGACCAUUUCACUUCUAAAUACUCUCCGGGGAGUGGGCCGAUGAAACAGAAAGAUUGCGAGAGUAAAUGCACAAAGGACUGUAAGUGUAUGGGGUAUUUCUAUCGCACUGAUCUAUCGAGGUGUUGGAUCGCUUACGAAUUGAAAACUUUGACGAGGGUUGGGAACUCGACUCAUUUGGCUUAUAUCAAAACACCUAUUCAGUAGCUCUGUGGUGCACGAGAAACCGGGAACAAGGAAGGUGCACUGUAUAGUUGCUUUUAGUAAAUUCUGACCUUCCAUUGUGUCUUUGUAUCGAAAUCAAAUAAUAUUCUUGUUUUGAUUUAUAAAAAAUUAGGUUAUAUGAGAUAACCGUUAUAUAUAAAUAAUAUUUAAAAUGAUUAAAAAAAUAUUUUUAUUAAAUUCAUCAUUUACAACCAACUUAUAAAAUAUAGCAGAUGUGCAAGAAAAAGAAAAAAACUUUUUUGAAAUAGUAUGUAAGAUGGUGCCGUAAAUAAUGCGAAUUAAUUUAAUAGAAGGAUUUGACUUAUAAUGGUAAGUUUAUCAUAAGAUUUAUGCUUAAAAUUUGAUUUUUUUUUUUUUAAAUCUAGAUGCAACCUUGGGAGGUUGUAAUUAAUUUACGACGGAAUAACAAAUCUAUUUAUAUAAACAAAAUGUAUUUUUAUAAACAAAACAUAAGUUUAUUAUUAUUAAUUUUAUCUUUUUUUAUCCACAUUGUGUCA